RNAcentral lists this ribosomal RNA (468 nucleotides) under uncultured bacterium. RNAcentral describes it as "bacterial SSU rRNA". It matches the Rfam family "Bacterial small subunit ribosomal RNA", at positions 28 to 520 of the family's 1533-position model. The record is from RNAcentral.
GAUGAACGCUGGCGGCGUGCCUAACACAUGCAAGUCGUACGAGCUCGAUCUUCGGAAUGGGUUAGUGGCGCACGGGUGAGUAACACGUAGGUGACCUACCCCAGAGUGGGGGAUAACUUCUCGAAAGAGAGGCUAAUACCGCAUACACUCGGUCAUUCAUUUGGCCGAGCAAAGCUCCGGCGCUUUGGGACGGGCCUGCGUCCGAUUAGCUAGUUGGUAGGGUAAUGGCUUACCAAGGCUUUGAUCGGUAGCUGGUCUGAGAGGACGAUCAGCCACACUGGCACUGACACACGGGCCAGACUCCUACGGGAGGCAGCAGUGAGGAAUAUUGGGCAAUGGGCGAAAGCCUGACCCAGCAACGCCGCGUGAGGGAUGAAGGCCUUCGGGUUGUAAACCUCUUUCUGGGAGAAGAGACAAGGACGGUAUCCCAGGAAUAAGUCUCGGCUAACUACGUGCCAGCAGCCGCGG